This 67-nucleotide small RNA is filed under the name Staphylococcus aureus. RNAcentral describes it as "Transcript". The record is from RNAcentral. Lineage: Bacteria; Bacillati; Bacillota; Bacilli; Caryophanales; Staphylococcaceae.
ACAGGUGGUAUGAAUACAACAUAAUCUUGCGGUCGUAUAGUAAUUGUAUUAUGCACCCCAUCAGGUG